Molecule: microRNA precursor, 73 nt
Filed under: Myotis lucifugus (little brown bat)
Lineage: Eukaryota; Metazoa; Chordata; Mammalia; Chiroptera; Vespertilionidae
Description: miRNA (ENSMLUG00000029000.1)
Source: RNAcentral
AGAGCCGCGGCGUAACGGGCAGCCAUCUUGUUUGUUUGAGUGAAUCGGAAAGGAGGCGGCGGCUGCGGCGGCG